This 105-nucleotide non-coding RNA is filed under the name uncultured Bulleidia sp. RNAcentral's name for it is "FMN riboswitch (RFN element)". It matches the Rfam family "FMN riboswitch aptamer (RFN element)", at positions 8 to 131 of the family's 138-position model. Rfam says of the family: The RFN element is a highly conserved domain that is found frequently in the 5'-untranslated regions of prokaryotic mRNAs that encode for flavin mononucleotide (FMN) biosynthesis and transport proteins. This element is a metabolite-dependent riboswitch that directly binds FMN in the absence of proteins. In Bacillus subtilis, the riboswitch most likely controls gene expression by causing premature transcription termination within the 5' untranslated region of the ribDEAHT operon and precluding access to the ribosome-binding site of ypaA mRNA. The record is from RNAcentral. Lineage: Bacteria; Bacillati; Bacillota; Erysipelotrichia; Erysipelotrichales; Erysipelotrichaceae.
CUCAGGGCAGGGUGAAAUUCCUGACCGGCGGUUAUACCCCGCGAGCUGCGAUGCAGUAGGAACUAGUGAAAUUCUAGUGGCGACAGUAAAGUCUGGAUGGAAGAG